RNAcentral lists this ribosomal RNA (505 nucleotides) under uncultured bacterium. Its description in RNAcentral is "bacterial SSU rRNA". It matches the Rfam family "Bacterial small subunit ribosomal RNA", at positions 1 to 526 of the family's 1533-position model. The record is from RNAcentral.
ACUAGCAGUAAGAGUUUGAUCAUGGCUCAGGAUAAACGCUGGCGGCGUGCCUAAUGCAUGCAAGUCGAACGGGCGCACUUGUGCGUGACCGUGGCGGACGGGUGAGGAGCACGUAGCUGACCUGCCCCGGUGUGGGGGAUAUCCUCGGGAAACCGAGUGUAAUACCGCAUGUGCUCAUUUGGGGGGACCUGAAUGAGGAAAGCCGAGAGGCGUACCAGGAGGGGGCUGCGUCCGAUUAGCUAGUUGGUGGGGUAAUGGCUUACCAAGGCGAUGAUCGGUAGCUGGUCUGAGAGGACGAUCAGCCACACGGGGACUGAGACACGGCCCCGACUCCUACGGGAGGCAGCAGCAAGGAAUUUUCCACAAUGGGCGCAAGCCUGAUGGAGCAACGCCGCGUGCGGGAGGACGCCUUUCGGGGUGUAAACCGCUGUUCGUGGGGACGAAGCACUGACGGUACCCACGGAGGAAGGCCCGGCUAACUUCGUGCCAGCCGCCGCGGUAAUAC